GUCUUCGUAGUGUAGAUGGUUAUCACGCUAGGCUUUCACCCUAGAGACUCGGGUUCGAAUCCCGGCGAGGAAA
Transfer RNA from Ostreococcus tauri, 73 nucleotides. It matches the Rfam family "tRNA". From Rfam's summary of the family: Transfer RNA (tRNA) molecules are approximately 80 nucleotides in length. Their secondary structure includes four short double-helical elements and three loops (D, anti-codon, and T loops). Lineage: Eukaryota; Viridiplantae; Chlorophyta; Mamiellophyceae; Mamiellales; Bathycoccaceae. The record is from Rfam.